Passer domesticus (house sparrow) is the source of this 3235-nucleotide long non-coding RNA. RefSeq lists it as uncharacterized. The transcript has 3 exons. NCBI's taxonomy places the organism in Eukaryota, Metazoa, Chordata, Aves, Passeriformes, Passeridae. The record is from RefSeq and is a predicted model, not a curated record.
UCUUCAGGAUUAUAUUUGCACCUAAAAAGAGAGAAAAAGGAACAUGUACUUCUCUCCAUGUCUCAGACUGCCUGCAGCCUGGGCCCAGCAGCAACAGACUGUCUGAGAAAAAUAACCACAUUUUUGAGAUUAUACUGUGGGGUGGUGUUUGUGUAAGUGGCAGGAGUUUUGAAGACAAUGUAACAAAGUUUGUGUCCCAUUUGUGAAGGUGUUUUUGUAUUUUUUAAAGUGUACACCCAGUAAAACCAAUGGGAAUUGUUAUUGAGAAACAGGAGGUGACUUUGUGGUGCUGCUUGCAUAGAUUUCCUCAACCAGGAAAUUCUGAAUUUGUUGUUUUGCUCCAAAUAUUUGGAAAACCACCCACUCCCAGCACAGCUGGCAGCAGCCAUGCCCCCAGGUUGGAGGAAAGUUUUUGGUGUGUUCCUCCUGCUCCAUCCCUGCCAGGACCUCUCUGGAGAGCUCUGAGCUCCUUGUGCUCCCCAGAGGUGUGAGCCAGCACCUCCAGGACCCUGCAUGAUCCAGCACUGAAAAAAAACAAAACAAAACAUUUUUUGAGGAAUUUUUAAACAUUCUCAGUGCUUAUUUAUUAUAUAGCUUUUGUAGCUGUCUCUCUUUAAGACUCAGGGCAAAUUGUUCACAGGUUUUAAAUUUAUAAAUCCAGCAACUUCUUUAUUUAACCAUAACAUUUUUAAAAGGUCACCUGUGUAUUUUGAAAAGCAAGAAUAAAGCUAAUUGCUGUGUAGUCCUCUAAAAAACCCUUUUUUUAUCUGAAGAUUUUGCCCAGCCCUGGCAGGACUGCAAUAAUUGAGACACCUGAGGGACAGGUUUUUAUUCCAAACACAGGCAUUAGUCAGGCUGCCACGCUCUGAAGUGGGGCUUUCCAAGGGUCUAGAGAAGAGGAAAACUUUCCUGGUGCACUUAUUCUGAUUUCCAGAAUAAAUGCUUGCAGAAAUCAGAGAUUUCCAAUGCUGCUGUCAGUCCCAGGAGCAGCACAAUUGUAGAAUCACAGGAUUGGGGAGGUUGGGAAAGAGCUCCAAGCCCAGCUGUGAGCCCAGCACCCCUGAGCCCUGGCCUCAGGUGCCACCUCCACAGGGUUCUGAACAUUUUCAGGAAUGGUGACUCCACCACUGCCAUGGGCAGCCUGCUCCAAUGCUUGGUAACCCUUUCUAGGUAUAAUUUUUUCAACUAUUUCAAGUAUUGUCAAAUCUAAACCUCCUCUGGCUCAACCUGAGGCAGUUUCCUCCAGCCUUUGGGAGAAGAGUGAGCAAGGCAGAAGUAAAUUAAUCAAAAUAAUCUCUUUGACAAGUUCAGCAAGCUGGCACCACUGUCAUCUCCCUUCUACACAAAGUGUCAGAAUGAAACCCAGUUUCUGGGCUGAACUGAGAGCUCUGAGUGUUGCAGUACAUUUAAGUGGCAGCUAUUACACCUAGCCUGUGCAAUGCCUUUAUAACAUAUUUUAUUUCUCCCUGCUAGCUUUUGUUUUAAACCAAGAGAAGGGCUUAUAUUAGAAACCAUUCCUGUACACUUCUAAAACAUCUGUAAAGGAGCAGGGAAAAGCAGAUUGCUUCAGCAAUGGGAGCAGGGAACAAGAAUUGCAGUGGUGAGGACUAGAGCUGCCAUUUGAGGUGCUCUCAGGUUCCCUCUGCCCCAGUUUGGGGCUGGGCUCCAGCUGGGCUCCCUGACACUGGAGCUCAUCAAGCAAAAGGAAACUGAUCCCUGCCUCUGCCUUGUCUGACACGUCCAGCCGACAGUUCCCUGCCAUAAUUAAAUGGCAGAGCAUUUGUUCCUGUGCCAAGGGGUGACAAAGGUGCCCCUUGGCAGUGCAGUUUAUCCUCAGGCAACGCUUGCUGUGGGUUUUGAAGGGAGCUGUGUGACUCCAGCUGCUCUAAGAUGUAAAAUUACAUCUGAUAUGUGGUUAUGGCCCUCUCUUACCUCUCAGCAGGCUGCUUAGAGAGCACUGAGCAAUUUCCUCUCCAACAAACAGCAAACUGGAGCUCAGGCACUUGGAGUACAGGCUGUAGGGGUGUGUCCCAGGUUUAGGAAUAUUUUAUCCAUCCGUGCUGCUCUGUCCUUAAAAACUCUCCAUCCUGAAAGACCAGCUCAGAAAUUCCAGAUUGUUCUAUUGCCUUCUCUAGUCCUCAGUGUGUAUAUAAAUAUAAAUAAAUACCAGAACCUUUUAUCAGCCAAGGGAUCCUCAGCACCUGCUCUGAUCUGUGUGAGGGGUUACAAACCUGAUUUCAGCAGCCUUGUGGCCACCCAGAGCAUCCACUCCUCUCACUGUGAGCUUGCUCAAUGAUGAAUUUUCUCACUGUUCUAAAACUCCCACUGGAUUUUGUUGUGUCUAUCCAUAUUAAGUAAUGGAAUUGUAAAAUGGAAAAAAAAAAGCAGGUAGAUCAGGAGUACAUUGUUUGCUCUGGUGAUGUGAUCCAAAUUUUUUUUUUAAAGUUUCUUUUUUCCCCCUUCUUCUUUAGACAUCCUUCUAAAAUAAAUGACAUAAUGGAGCAGAACUAAAAUACCUAGAUUUUCAUUUCAGCCUGAUGUGAGCACCUCAGAGGGACAGAACAAGGGGAAUGGGAUGAAUUUUGAAAUGCCAGCAGCCUGGCUAAUAGCCACAUCAUAAGCUACACACUGGCAAAAAAAUGCAUGUGCUGGGAGCCAUGUGCAUGUGUUGUGGUUGUUUUCAUGAGGAUGGAGCACAACGUGACUGUGGGGGUUUAUAAACAGCAGAGGGACUGGAAAUUGUUUGUGGGUUGGCGUAAGUAGGAGAAAAAUCAAACUGCAAAGCAUUUUGGUUCAGACUGUCCCACAGACCUCUGGGUACCUGAGAGAUCAUCACCAAGAUUUUCAUGAAACUGCAGGAGGAGUAUUCCAGGUAUCUCCAUCUCAAAAAUGAGAUGCUUCACAUGGGAACAAAAUGUUUUGGGCCGCACAGAACCGAUGACAAGAAAUCUGAAUUUCUCUUCCUCGAGGAGUUUCAAAGUGUUGAUGGAUUGUCCUGAUGCUCCACAUGAAACACUUCCAAAAUCCUACAGCUCUUCGGGGAAGAGGAAAAAUCUUCCCACUCAGUUCUUGCGGCAACGGAGGUACACUCUGAGAGUUUGAGUGACCAAUCAAUACAGAACAACAAUUUGUUACUGACCAAUAAAGUAAUUGGCAAGGAAGCUCCUGACCAACUGGAGUCCCACACCAGGUCUGUAACACUGCAUAAAAAGGAGUUUUGUGAAUAAAGAAUGGG